CCUUUUAUCGUUUUGUCGGUUUCUUGACAAAAAGGGGGAGAUGAUGAUGAUGUUUUUUAGUUAAUUUUAGUUGUUAGAUGCAUGAUUUUAGAUGUUAGAUGCAUGUGUAGGUGCAUGAUGCUGUGCUGAUGGUGAUGUUUUUAGAUGAGAUGCUGAUAAUGAUGUAUUAAGAUAUGACUGUUUAUGUUUGAUCGUUAAUGAAAUUUCUUGGAUCUUGAUUGUGUUUUGAAAAUGUUUAUUGCAGGAACUUUCAAGACUUCAAGACUUCAUGUCUAAGUCAUAGAGUUUGUAGUAAGAUUGUGAAAAAAUAUAAUUUUUUCUUUUAUUGAAUCGAUCAUGCAGGAGAUUGUCGUUUGGUGAUUGCGAUGAUCUUCUUUUUAUUGUUUCUGAGUUGUGUACGAGUGUUGUAAUAUGUUUUGUCACGAAAUCGCCAAAGGGGGAGAUUGUUAAGGAUUUUCUAGGUUGGCGGAUUUCGUAAAGUCAAAUGGAGUCUUGAAGAGUUGAUCGCGGUAGUUUGAAGAGAAGAUUCAACUUGAAGAG
RNAcentral lists this long non-coding RNA (540 nucleotides) under Ananas comosus (pineapple). RNAcentral's name for it is "long non-coding RNA (ACOM_LNC024108)". The record is from RNAcentral. Lineage: Eukaryota; Viridiplantae; Streptophyta; Magnoliopsida; Poales; Bromeliaceae.